UGGGGAAUUUUGCACAAUGGGGGAAACCCUGAUGCAGCGACGCCGCGUGAUUUAGAAGGCCUUCGGGUUGUAAAAAUCUUUUGUAUGGGAAGAAAAUGACAGUACCAUACGAAUAAGGACCGGCUAAUUACGUGCCAGCAGCCGCGGUAAUACGUAAGGUCCGAGCGUUGUCCGGAAUCAUUGGGCGUAAAGGGUACGUAGGCGGAUAAGCAAGUUAGAAGUGAAAUCCUAUAGCUCAACUAUAGUAAGCUUUUAAAACUGCUCAUCUUGAGGUAUGGAAGGGAAAGUGGAAUUCCUAGUGUAGCGGUGAAAUGCGCAGAUAUUAGGAGGAAUACCGGUGGCGAAGGCGACUUUCUGGCCAUAUACUGACGCUGAGGUACGAAAGCGGGGGUAGCAAACAGG
This 402-nucleotide ribosomal RNA is filed under the name Verrucomicrobiota bacterium. RNAcentral describes it as "Verrucomicrobia bacterium partial 16S ribosomal RNA". It matches the Rfam family "Bacterial small subunit ribosomal RNA", at positions 355 to 776 of the family's 1533-position model. Lineage: Bacteria; Pseudomonadati; Verrucomicrobiota. The record is from RNAcentral.